UACGUAGGGUGCGAGCGUUGUCCGGAUUUAUUGGGCGUAAAGAGCUCGUAGGCGGUUUGGCAAGUCGGGUGUGAAAACUCCGGGCUCAAUUCGGAGACGCCACUCGAUACUGCCAUGACUCGAGUCCGGUAGGGGAGUGCGGAAUUCCUGGUGUAGCGGUGAAAUGCGCAGAUAUCAGGAGGAACACCGGUGGCGAAGGCGGCACUCUGGGCCGGUACUGACGCUGAGGAGCGAAAGCGUGGGGAGCGAACAGG
RNAcentral lists this ribosomal RNA (254 nucleotides) under uncultured bacterium. RNAcentral's name for it is "partial 16S ribosomal RNA". It matches the Rfam family "Bacterial small subunit ribosomal RNA", at positions 524 to 776 of the family's 1533-position model. The record is from RNAcentral.